GCUAUACAUGCAAGUCGAGCGGAUCUUCAUUAGCUUGCUUUUGAAGAUCAGCGGCGGACGGGUGAGUAACACGUGGGCAACCUGCCUGUAAGACUGGGAUAACUUCGGGAAACCGGAGCUAAUACCGGAUAAUCCUUUUCCUCUCAUGAGGAAAAGCUGAAAGACGGUUUCGGCUGUCACUUACAGAUGGGCCCGCGGCGCAUUAGCUAGUUGGUGAGGUAACGGCUCACCAAGGCGACGAUGCGUAGCCGACCUGAGAGGGUGAUCGGCCACACUGGGACUGAGACACGGCCCAGACUCCUACGGGAGGCAGCAGUAGGGAAUCUUCCGCAAUGGACGAAAGUCUGACGGAGCAACGCCGCGUGAGCGAUGAAGGCCUUCGGGUCGUAAAGCUCUGUUGUCAGGGAAGAACAAGUAUCGGAGUAACUGCCGGUACCUUGACGGUACCUGACCAGAAAGCCACGGCUAACUACGUGCCAGCAGCCGCGGUAAUACGUAGGUGGCAAGCGUUGUCCGGAAUUAUUGGGCGUAAAGCGCGCGCAGGCGGUUCCUUAAGUCUGAUGUGAAAGCCCCCGGCUCAACCGGGGAGGGUCAUUGGAAACUGGGGAACUUGAGUGCAGAAGAGGAGAGCGGAAUUCCACGUGUAGCGGUGAAAUGCGUAGAGAUGUGGAGGAACACCAGUGGCGAAGGCGGCUCUCUGGUCUGUAACUGACGCUGAGGCGCGAAAGCGUGGGGAGCGAACAGGAUUAGAUACCCUGGUAGUCCACGCCGUAAACGAUGAGUGCUAAGUGUUAGAGGGUUUCCGCCCUUUAGUGCUGCAGCAAACGCAUUAAGCACUCCCGCCCUGGGGAGUACGGCCGCAAGGCUGAUACCCAGAGUCAUUUAGCAGGUGGG
RNAcentral lists this ribosomal RNA (894 nucleotides) under Bacillus sp. EN-V5. RNAcentral's name for it is "bacterial SSU rRNA". It matches the Rfam family "Bacterial small subunit ribosomal RNA", at positions 48 to 921 of the family's 1533-position model. Lineage: Bacteria; Bacillati; Bacillota; Bacilli; Caryophanales; Bacillaceae. The record is from RNAcentral.